Molecule: long non-coding RNA, 542 nt
Filed under: Homo sapiens (human)
Lineage: Eukaryota; Metazoa; Chordata; Mammalia; Primates; Hominidae
Description: HSALNT0105100
Source: RNAcentral
GGCAGGUAAAGGAGUGCCAUAGUAGGUAGAGGGCUGGGUCUGUCCUCUCUUCUCCUCCUCCUCUCCCUUUGCUCCCAGCCUGCAGGGAGAGGGGAGAGAGGUGAGAGCAGCAUGGGGGAGGAGGAAGCAGAGGAGACAGAGGUGGGAGAGGAGAGGCUAAGCCCCACACCCAACUGAAGAAGUGGUUGGCGGUUUCAGCGGCACCUCCCUCCUCGCUGAGGUGGACUGUGAAGGUGGAGAAGCCCAGAGCACAGCCUCCUGUGAAGAAACAGAGGGAAGACCCAGUGCCUUGUGCAAGGUGGCUCAGUUUGUAAGUGGCAGAGCCGAUUUGAACCCACGUUUGUCUGACUCUAAUACUGUAUCAACCCUCCUUCCUCUACCCUGUUCCUCUGCAUUGUCAACUAUUCCACAUGUAUCUUGUUCCUCAACAAAAUAGUAACGUUUUCUUUUGCAUACUUUAUAUCUCUCACCUUGCCUGACCCAGUAACAUAGGCUUGGUUGGGAGGGACUGAAGGACUUGGAAAGGAAAUGCCCCAGUGGAG